RNAcentral lists this ribosomal RNA (355 nucleotides) under uncultured cyanobacterium. Its description in RNAcentral is "bacterial SSU rRNA". It matches the Rfam family "Bacterial small subunit ribosomal RNA", at positions 355 to 726 of the family's 1533-position model. Lineage: Bacteria; Bacillati; Cyanobacteriota. The record is from RNAcentral.
GGGGGAAUUUUCCNCAAUGGGCGCAANCCUGACGGAGCAAGACCGCGUGGGGGAUGACGGCCUAAUGGUUGUAAACCCCUUUUCUCUGGGAAGAAACCUGACGGUACCAGAGGAAUCAGCCUCGGCUAACUCCGUGCCAGCAGCCGCGGUAAUACGGAGGAGGCAAGCGUUAUCCGGAAUUAUUGGGCGUAAAGCGUCCGUAGGUGGUGAUUCAAGUCUGCUGUCAAAGCGUGGGGCUUAACUCCAUAGAGGCAGUGGAAACUGAGUGACUAGAGUGCGGUAGGGGUCGAGGGAAUUCCCAGUGUAGCGGUGAAAUGCGUAGAUAUUGGGAAGAACACCAGUGGCGAAAGCGCUC